RNAcentral lists this ribosomal RNA (322 nucleotides) under uncultured Jonquetella sp. RNAcentral's name for it is "bacterial SSU rRNA". It matches the Rfam family "Bacterial small subunit ribosomal RNA", at positions 172 to 508 of the family's 1533-position model. Lineage: Bacteria; Thermotogati; Synergistota; Synergistia; Synergistales; Dethiosulfovibrionaceae. The record is from RNAcentral.
CAUAAGACCACGCUACCGCAUGGUAGAGAGGUCAAAAGGAGCAAUCCGCUUAGGAGGGGUUCGCGUCCCAUUAGAUAGUUGGUGAGGUAACGGCUCACCAAGUCGACGAUGGGUAGCCGAGCUGAGAGGCUGAUCGGCCACACUGGAACUGAGACACGGUCCAGACUCCUACGGGAGGCAGCAGUGGGGAAUAUUGGGCAAUGGGCGCAAGCCUGACCCAGCAACGCCGCGUGAGAGAAGAAGGCCUUCGGGUUGUAAAUCUCUGUCGCAGGGGACGAAGAAGUGACGGUACCCUGCAAGGAAGCCCCGGCUAACUACGUGC